This 655-nucleotide ribosomal RNA is filed under the name uncultured euryarchaeote. RNAcentral's name for it is "bacterial SSU rRNA". It matches the Rfam family "Archaeal small subunit ribosomal RNA", at positions 223 to 879 of the family's 1478-position model. The record is from RNAcentral. Lineage: Archaea; Methanobacteriati; Methanobacteriota.
GAUUAGGUAGUUGCUGGGGUAACGUCCCAACAAGCCGAUAAUCGGUACGGGUUGUGAGAGCAAGAGCCCGGAGAUGGAUUCUGAGACACGAAUCCAGGUCCUACGGGGCGCAGCAGGCGCGAAAACUUUACACUGCGCGAAAGCGCGAUAAGGGGACCUCGAGUGCGUGCGCAAUGCGUACGCUUUUCAGAUGCCUAAAAAGCAUCUGGAAUAAGGGCCGGGCAAGACCGGUGCCAGCCGCCGCGGUAACACCGGCGGCUCAAGUGGUGGCCGCUAUUAUUGGGCUUAAAGGGUCCGUAGCCGGACCAGUUAGUCCCUUGGGAAAUCUUACGGCUUAACCGUAAGGCUGCCAAUGGAUACUGCUGGUCUUGGGACCGGGAGAGGUAAGAGGUACUUCAGGGGUAGGAGUGAAAUCCUGUAAUCCUUGAGGGACCGCCAGUGGCGAAGGCGUCUUACUAGAACGGGUCCGACGGUGAGGGACGAAAGCUAGGGGCACGAACCGGAUUAGAUACCCGGGUAGUCCUAGCCGUAAACGAUGCGAGCUAGGUGUCACGUGGAUUGCGAAUCCAUGUGGUGCCGAAGGGAAACCGUGAAGCUCGCCGCCUGGGAAGUACGGCCGCAAGGCUGAAACUUAAAGGAAUUGGCGGGGGAGCAC